GGGUCCUUAGUUCAGUGGUAGGGCAUUUGACUACAGAUCAAGAGGUCACCAGUUCGAACUUGGUAGGGCCCU
Solanum verrucosum is the source of this 72-nucleotide non-coding RNA. The record is from the annotation of a RefSeq genome assembly. NCBI's taxonomy places the organism in Eukaryota, Viridiplantae, Streptophyta, Magnoliopsida, Solanales, Solanaceae.